CACCGGUUUGAAUGGCAGUACCCAUCAUGAAGACGACACACCAAGCGGAAAUGGAGUACUGAAUGAUACACAGAGGACCGGCCAUGACGGCACCGACAAAAGCAGCAAGUUCAAGAAUAGAGGUCAAGAGACCCUUGGUGUCGGGGUUUGUCAACUGUAGGAGGACGUGUUAGCAAAUGCGGUGAAGAAGGAGCUUGCCAAAUCUUACAGUAGCGGUGUAUCGCUGCUCAAAAUUGUACAUGACUUGGACUUGACCGAAAACACCCUGUUAAUGCAGGACAUAAGCAAAUGGCAGGCAAUUGAGAAAUGCACAGUAUAAUAUACCUGAUU
RNAcentral lists this small RNA (330 nucleotides) under Cryptococcus neoformans H99. RNAcentral's name for it is "Cryptococcus neoformans var. grubii H99 hypothetical RNA". Lineage: Eukaryota; Fungi; Basidiomycota; Tremellomycetes; Tremellales; Cryptococcaceae. The record is from RNAcentral.